RNAcentral lists this ribosomal RNA (789 nucleotides) under uncultured bacterium. RNAcentral describes it as "bacterial SSU rRNA". It matches the Rfam family "Bacterial small subunit ribosomal RNA", at positions 8 to 796 of the family's 1533-position model. The record is from RNAcentral.
AGAGUUUGAUCAUGGCUCAGAUUGAACGCUGGCGGCAGGCCUAACACAUGCAAGUCGAGCGGUAACGCGGGGCAACCUGGCGACGAGCGGCGGACGGGUGAGUAACGCGUAGGAAUCUACCUAGUAGUGGGGGAUAGCCCGGGGAAACUCGGAUUAAUACCGCAUACGCCUUAAGGGGGAAAGCAGGGGAUCUUCGGACCUUGUGCUAUUAGAAGAGCCUGCGUUGGAUUAGCUAGUUGGUAGGGUAAAGGCCUACCAAGGCGGCGAUCCAUAGCUGGUCUGAGAGGAUGAUCAGCCACACUGGGACUGAGACACGGCCCAGACUCCUACGGGAGGCAGCAGUGGGGAAUAUUGGACAAUGGGGGCAACCCUGAUCCAGCCAUGCCGCGUGUGUGAAGAAGGCCUUCGGGUUGUAAAGCACUUUAAGUGGGGAGGAAGGGGUGAAAACUAAUACUUUUCAUCAUUGACGCUACCCACAGAAUAAGCACCGGCUAACUCUGUGCCAGCAGCCGCGGUAAUACAGAGGGUGCAAGCGUUAAUCGGAAUUACUGGGCGUAAAGCGCGCGUAGGCGGCUAAUUAAGUCGGGUGUGAAAGCCCCGGGCUCAACCUGGGAAUUGCAUCCGAUACUGAUUGGCUAGAGUAUGAGAGAGGGAGGUAGAAUUCCACGUAGCGGUGAAAUGCGUAGAUAUGUGGAGGAAUACCAGUGGCGAAGGCGGCCUCCUGGCUUAAUACUGACGCUGAGGUGCGAAAGCGUGGGGAUCAAACAGGAUUAGAUACCCUAGUAGUCC